Molecule: ribosomal RNA, 445 nt
Filed under: uncultured bacterium
Lineage: Bacteria
Description: bacterial SSU rRNA
Rfam family: Bacterial small subunit ribosomal RNA
Source: RNAcentral
CCGUAGCGAGCGCAACCCUUGUCCUUAGUUGCCAGCACGUUAUGGUGGACACUCUAAGGAGACUGCCGGUGACAAGCCGGAGGAAGGUGGGGAUGACGUCAAGUCAUCAUGGCCCUUACGGCCAGGGCUACACACGUGGUACAAUGGUCGGUACAAAGGGUUGCCAAGCCGCGAGGUGGAGCUAAUCCCAUAAAACCGAUCGUAGUCCGGAUCGCAGUCUGCAACUCGACUGCGGGAAGUCGGAAUCGCUAGUAAUCGUGAAUCAGAACGUCACGGUGAAUACGUUCCCGGGCCUUGUACACACCGCCCGUCACACCAUGGGAGUGGGUUGCUCCAGAAGUAGCUAGUCUAACCCUCGGGAGGACGGUUACCACGGAGUGAUUCAUGACUGGGGUGAGGUCGUAACAAGGUAGCCGUAGGGGAACCUGCGGCUGGAUCACCUCAA